UACGAAGGGUGCAAGCGUUACUCGGAAUUACUGGGCGUAAAGCGUGCGUAGGUGGUUUGUUAAGUCUGAUGUGAAAGCCCUGGGCUCAACCUGGGAAUUGCAUUGGAUACUGGCAGGCUAGAGUGCGGUAGAGGAUGGCGGAAUUCCCGGUGUAGCAGUGAAAUGCGUAGAGAUCGGGAGGAACAUCUGUGGCGAAGGCGGCCAUCUGGACCAGCACUGACACUGAGGCACGAAAAGCGUGGGGGAGCAAACAGG
RNAcentral lists this ribosomal RNA (255 nucleotides) under uncultured bacterium. RNAcentral's name for it is "partial 16S ribosomal RNA". It matches the Rfam family "Bacterial small subunit ribosomal RNA", at positions 524 to 776 of the family's 1533-position model. The record is from RNAcentral.